CGAUCGGUAGCUGGUCUGAGAGGAUGAUCAGCCACACUGGGACUGAGAACGGCCCAGCUCCUACGGGAGGCAGCAGUGGGGAAUUUUCCGCAAUGGGCGCAAGCCUGACGGAGCAACGCCGCGUGUGGGAAGAAGGCUCUUGGGCUGUCAACCACUUUUCUCAGGGAAGAAGAUCUGACGGUACCUGAGGAAUCAGCCUCGGCUAACUCCGUGCCAGCAGCCGCGGUAAUACGGAGGAGGCAAGCGUUAUCCGGAAUUAUUGGGCGUAAAGCGUCCGCAGGUGGUGUUUCAAGUCUGCUGUCAAAGACCGAAGCUUAACUUCGGGUAGGCGGUGGAAACUGACUCACUAGAGUACGGUAGGGGUAGAGGGAAUUUCCAGUGUAGCGGUGAAAUGCGUAGAGAUUGGAAAGAACACCAGUGGCGAAGGCGCUCUACUGGACCGUAACUGACACUCAGGGACGAAAGCUAGGGUAGCGAAAGGGAUUAGAUACCCCUGUAGUCCUAGCCGUAAACGAUGGAU
Molecule: ribosomal RNA, 520 nt
Filed under: uncultured Stanieria sp.
Lineage: Bacteria; Bacillati; Cyanobacteriota; Cyanophyceae; Pleurocapsales; Dermocarpellaceae
Description: bacterial SSU rRNA
Rfam family: Bacterial small subunit ribosomal RNA
Source: RNAcentral